Molecule: ribosomal RNA, 285 nt
Filed under: uncultured bacterium
Lineage: Bacteria
Description: partial 16S ribosomal RNA
Rfam family: Bacterial small subunit ribosomal RNA
Source: RNAcentral
UACCUACUCUUGACAUCUACGGAAGACUGCAGAGAUGCGGUUGUGCCUUCGGGAACCGUAAGACAGGUGCUGCAUGGCUGUCGUCAGCUCGUGUUGUGAAAUGUUGGGUUAAGUCCCGCAACGAGCGCAACCCUUGCCCUUAGUUGCCAGCAUUCAGUUGGGAACUCUAAGGGGACCGCCGGUGACAAACCGGAGGAAGGUGGGGAUGACGUCAAGUCAUCAUGGCCCUUAUGACCAGGGCUACACACGUGCUACAAUGGCCGGUACAGAGGGUUGCCAACCCGC